Clupea harengus (Atlantic herring) is the source of this 524-nucleotide long non-coding RNA. Lineage: Eukaryota; Metazoa; Chordata; Actinopteri; Clupeiformes; Clupeidae. The record is from Ensembl.
GGAGAGGGGAGUGGAGGAGUGCACAGGGCUUGAUACUCGUUAGACAGCUGUGGAGACAAUGCUUUUGUUAAUGCAGCACAAAGUCUGGAUGGUGCGGCCUGACUCCAAAUUAAUUCUGAAGGGACAGGCAGGAUCUUGUGCAUAACUUCCUGUGUACUUUGCAGAGGCUGCUCUCAAAGGCGGCUAAAAAGCACUUUUAGAGCACCUAGAGCAGCUCCUGGUGAAGCUCCUGGUGAAGCGCAACCGGAAGGGGGAAGGAUAGCCCCAAGGUUGAAAGGAGCUGGACGGACCAACUGGGACCCGACAUUCAAGCAGGGAAGUAACCAGAAGUUGGGUGAAUUGUUUAACCCUGAAUGAAGAGGGGAAAGGGACAUUUUGUGUUGGACUUUUGAGUUGGGUUGAAGAACCUACCUUUGAGUUUUCUUUGUGUGAAGAAAUACCUGAGUUGUACCUUUUUGAAUUAAAAACCUUCUUUUUACCUCCCAUUGUGACUGAUUCAUCAGUUAACUGCACUGCCCAGCCCG